RNAcentral lists this ribosomal RNA (497 nucleotides) under uncultured bacterium. RNAcentral's name for it is "partial 16S ribosomal RNA". It matches the Rfam family "Bacterial small subunit ribosomal RNA", at positions 28 to 507 of the family's 1533-position model. The record is from RNAcentral.
GAUGAACGCUGGCGGCGUGCCUAAUACAUGCGAGUCGAGCGAACAGAUGAGGAGCUUGCUCCUCUGACGUUAGCGGCGGACGGGUGAGUAACACGUGGAUAACCUACCUAUAAGACUGGGAUAACUUCGGGAAACCGGAGCUAAUACCGGAUAAUAUAUUGAACCGCAUGGUUCAAUAGUGAAAGACGGUUUUGCUGUCACUUAUAGAUGGAUCCGCGCCGCAUUAGCUAGUUGGUAAGGUAACGGCUUACCAAGGCAACGAUGCGUAGCCGACCUGAGAGGGUGAUCGCCCACACUGGGACUGAGCCACGGUCCAGACUCCUACGGGAGGCAGCAGUAGGGACUCUUCCGCAAUGGGCGAAAGCCUGACGGAGCAACGCCGCGUGAGUGAUGAAGGUCUUCGGAUCGUAAAACUCUGCUAUUGGGGAAGAACAAAUGUGUAAGUAACUAUGCACGUCUUGACGGUACCUAAUCAGAAAGCCACGGCUAACUACGUG